GAGUCUAUAGCAUGAUUAAGCAAACUUUACUCUUAAGAACUAUUCAAUAAGGGUACAGCCUUAUUGAAAAAGGAUUCAACCUAAACUUCUGGUUAAUGGUUAUACCCUAAGAGGUAAGAGGCUAAGUGGGCCUAAAAGCAGCCACCUUCUUAAAAGCGUCAAAGCUUUGCCUUACUUCUACCCUUUAUUCUAUUAACACCCCAAAACCCGACACUUCUACUGAGCUUUUCUAUAUUAUUAUAGAAGUAUUUAUGUUAGGACUAGUAACACAGAAUUAUUUCUCUUACAUGCAAGCACAAAUCAGAUCGAAUACUUCACUGAUAUCUACUCACUCCUGAGCCAAAAGUAAUAACCCCCUCUCCCGAAAACCCUACCCUCUUUAUUGUUAACCUUACACAAGCGCAUGAAAGAAAGAUUAAAAGACUAGGAAGGAACUCGGCAAAUAUAAGCCCCGCCUGUUUACCAAAAACAUCGCCUUUUGAAUCCUAUAAAAGGUAACGCCUGCCCAGUGACUUUAUGUUUAACGGCCGCGGUACUCUGACCGUGCAAAGGUAGCGUAAUCACUUGUCUUUUAAAUAAGGACUAGUAUGAAUGGCAUCACGAGGGCUUAGCUGUCUCCCUAAUCUAAUCAGUGAAACUGAUCUCCCUGUGAAAAAGCAGGGAUUAACACAUAAGACGAGAAGACCCUAUGGAGCUUUAAACCAAAAACUACCUGUUUAAUCUAUUGUACGAAAGAUAAUACUAAAUCAACUGAUCUAGUUUAGGUUUUCAGUUGGGGUGACUGUGGAGAAAAACAAAUCCUCCACGCAGACUUAAGCUUUGAGCAACCGCUCUACGCAUUAGCAAGUCUAACUGCACUUGAUCCAAUAUUUUUGAUCAACGGACCAAGUUACCCUAGGGAUAACAGCGCAAUCCAUUUCAAGAGUCCCUAUCGACAAAUGGGUUUACGACCUCGAUGUUGGAUUAGGACACCCAAGUGGUGCAGCCGCUACUUA
Molecule: ribosomal RNA, 995 nt
Filed under: Scutiger tengchongensis
Lineage: Eukaryota; Metazoa; Chordata; Amphibia; Anura; Megophryidae
Description: partial large subunit ribosomal RNA
Rfam family: Bacterial large subunit ribosomal RNA
Source: RNAcentral